UUUCCGUAGGUGAACCUGCGGAAGGAUCAUUAUUGAGCCCUGCCCUCACGGGUAGACCUCCAACCCUGUGUAUUUAUACCAUUGUUGCUUCGGCAGGCCGUCUAGGUUUCGGCCUGGCUAUGGGCUUCGGCUGGGGUGUGCCUGCCAGAGGACCCCCAACUCUGUGUUUAGUGUCGUCUGAGUAUUAUAUUAAUACGUUAAAACUUUCAACAACGGAUCUCUUGGUUCUGGCAUCGAUGAAGAACGCAGC
RNAcentral lists this unclassified non-coding RNA (250 nucleotides) under uncultured fungus. RNAcentral's name for it is "sequence contains ITS1, 5.8S rRNA gene". The stretch from base 202 to 250 matches the Rfam family "5.8S ribosomal RNA", at positions 1 to 49 of the family's 154-position model. The record is from RNAcentral. Lineage: Eukaryota; Fungi.